Non-coding RNA from Odocoileus virginianus texanus, 510 nucleotides. The record is from RefSeq and is a predicted model, not a curated record. Lineage: Eukaryota; Metazoa; Chordata; Mammalia; Artiodactyla; Cervidae.
CCGCUGCAAGACCAUGGACCAGUGACCGGCCGUGUGGUGUGCAGGCCCCUUACGUGUACCAGGGGGAGGCGGGCGGUGCCGAGUCCAGGUUCGCAGGCCCCCGAGUGAGGACACGUGUGAGAACAGCCCUGUGCUGACUUCCAGCUUGCCUGCUAAGGUAUGGAAAACUGCAAAUCUGGGGUCCUGUGAAUAAAACCUUCCCAGAUCUUUGAGAAACCUUCACUUACAGAGAUGGCCUUCACACGGUGGAGAUACACAGCAUCUUUCCGUGUGGCUGACGGACGUCACUGAACACAGUCUUCGGGUUCCCCGUGUUGCAGCAGGUGAGUCUCCUCCAUUCAGCAAGGAGAGGAGGAGCUUGAGGAGCCCCCUUUGGGCUGGACGGUGAUGCUGCUUGUCUUCCUGAUGGGGUGUCUGCCCACGGCUCCCGGCGUUGUGCGAGCCGGUGAUCUGAUCCCGCCCCCCCCCGAGGUCAGCGCUCUUCCCAUAGCUCAGUCUCACAGACCCGGA